GAAGCUGCAGGUCUCUCGUGUUUCCCAGAAUCCCAGUUUAGAUCUUGUUGGCAUCUGGAAGGCAGAGAGUGGCAGGGGUCAGGAAGGCAAAGAAACAUCAAGUUGAAUCAUUCCUAUUAUUCCCUAUUUCUGGGAAAUGCAGACCACUGGGGUUUUUAUUUCUGGUUUUUACCCCUGGAAUUUCUUUUCCCCCAGGGAAAGAGAGCUUGGGUCGAAACCCUGCAAAGCAAGUGAUCACAUUUUUUCUUCUGUUUUUCGGACUCAAAUAGCUGGAUGGAAUCAGUAAAGACUCUAAGAAGUUCCUGGUGAACAGGGAAGUUGCAGCAGGAGGUCCAAGACUUUCAGAAAAUAAAAAUUCAACAGGGAAAAAGCUAUUUUAGAAAAGCCCCAACAAUGAGAUCUUCAACUGGCAUUUGCAAUCAGCCACGGACAGAAAUACAUCCAAAACUAGGCUUCCUUAUUUUUUCAUUCUUGCUUCUCAUAUCAAUGCCAUCAGUAGUACUGCUUAUAACCAAUUUGCAAGAGAAAUGUCUCUCAGCAGCAGGUUGAAUUCUUUAUUACAUCUAUUUCAGUAUCAAACCAUCCCAAGAAUCCUUCUGAGACUGAGCUUCUCCCAGUGCACCAUGGAGAUGCAGUGCACCUUUUAAUCAGGAGGGACAUCUCUAUUUAGUUUGCAGACUUCAAAAUUUCCUCUGUUCAAAAUGCUGUGUUGCUACCUGAGUGAAACCAGAGAUAAAACUCCAGCUGAUACCAUGGAUUCAGGAAUCGACAGAUAAUUAAUUUUUAAAACUUGGGACUGAGUAAUGCAUUUCCUUUGUGGUUUGAUUUUUUUAUCUGUUUUUCUUAUAAACCAAACUUCACCCUCUCACCACUUAAAUUGAAACCAUGUCUUUCUGGAAGAGGAUGGUGUAGGGACUAAAAUACUCUCCUGGGGCACUCUGCUGGGCAUGUCUUGGCUCCUAUGCAGUGUCCUGAUGUGAGCAGUUUUUACAUAGGAUAUUAAGUCUCUGGAUCUAGGAUUAGGAAGGCAAGGUCCAUAGAGGUUCAGUGAAAGGUCCAGGUGACUGCUCAGAGCUGAGAGCCAGUGUCCUGUCCUCGGGAUCUGAAGUGUCAGAGAAGGACCACAGAGAAGGACCACAACCUCCCAGCACUGACUUGCCCAAAGGAGGCUGUGUUUCUCACAUUGUCAUUUAUGCCUCUGAACUGAAAGCCUAAAAUAGCAAAUAGACAGUGGGGAUGAUCCAGUGACUCAACCAUCAGCAUUCACAGCAGUCACCUAAGAUAUCUGCUUCCUUUGGCUUCCAGAGAAACACAGACCACCCCAGGGGACAGCUUGGAAGCCAAAGGAAUGGUCUCUUUAUUGAAAUGAAGUUGCAAUAUGAGCACAAAUUCUGCUGUAUCUCUGGUCUUUUGUUCCUCAUAUGCAUAAAACAAACUCCCUGUUUCCUGCCUUCCCAAAUCAGGGUAAGUGUUCCUUCAGGGCAGGAAUCUCAUCCUUCCUGUUGUCCCUGAGCAGCAUCGUGGCGCGGGGCCAGGACAGUCCCCGGGCACAGUGACAGACCCCAGUGAGCUCUUACCACACCACAGAGACACAGAGGAGGAGGUGGAACUCGAGCUUAGAUGUGGGACUGAUAUUGUCCUGCCCAAACAAACCACCUGGAUUUAACAGCACAGAGCAGGGAGGAUUUCCACGUCCAUCAUCCCGCCGGGAAGAGCUUCACUCUGCUCCUCUGCUGCUUGUCCCUGUGUCAGCACAGGGAUUGAAUGAAGUGAUGGAGCUGCAGUUCAAAGAAUGUGUGCAGCCAAAAAUCAGCAACGAAAAUUACUUCACACGCUGCCUGCAAUUUCCAUACACAGGUCUUCAGUGCUUUGGUGGAUGGAAGGAAGGAAGCCUGGAGCAUGCAGAGGGGAAGAUGAGGCACUCGGAUACCAUGGUGAUGAGCAGCUGAGACCUUGUCUGCUGUGCCAGAGCCCGGCCUGGUAAAUGGGAUAUUCCUUGGAGGGAUGAGGUCCUCGCACAGACGAGUAGCUCUUCAGUCUUGUCCACAGCACAGAAAAGUGGUCACUGGCGGUGUUUGUGCUGCCUUGUGAGGACCUGAAAGCUGAAGACAAGACUCCUUCUCCUUUCAGGCAGAAUACCUGGAAUGUUGCCCUUAGCUAUGGUCACCUCCCCAAAGUCCAAGACCCUUUCUGUCCAUGGUGGCUUUGCAGCCAGCUCUCAGAUGCUUUUGUUGUUAUCAUCAGCCUUCAGGGAGAAACUUUAUUCUUUACUCCACACUCUGAAAACACCACGUUUGCAUCUCCAGGCAUCCUGUAGAACCACAUUGGGCCUCUUCUUGUCCCCUAAUUACUCCUUUAUGCACUUCUUCUGGUGUAUCACAGCUAUAAAGCCAGUUUAAGCAGCUGGUGGAAGAUUGCUGGCCUCUGGGAAGCCUGCUGUGAUAAAGAACCUCCAGUGUGGUCCCUGCACAUAGGAACUGAUGCCAGACCUUGAGGUCUGUGCCUGGGGGGAAAAGGGAAAAAAGACAAAUAGUAUGGCUGAGACAGAACUCCCUCCCUCAAAUGUGAGCUCCUGGUUUCUGGGAGUAAAUUAAAGCAGAAGGGUUAAUAACAAAUGCCAAAAUAGAUUUUAGACAACUGUGUUCUGGUUUAAAACUCUAUUUAAUUGUACAAGGCUUCAUUAAAUCCCUGGACACAGUUGAUCUGCUAGAGCUCACCUGAUUUUUCCAAGUCUUCUCUUCCCUCACUCCUUUCCUGUAUUUCCUGACUUCACACUCAAUCUAUUUGUAUGGCUGUUACAGCUUCUUGAGUUUAAAUUAAUCUUUUAAAGAAGGCUGAACCACAUGAACUUUCUUUUGGUUUUAGAAACCACAUCCAUAUUCAUAAUCCACUAAUCAUGUUUGAUAAAUCAGAAUUCAUUGUGAAACGCACUAACCCUUCAUGUUGCUUCACUUUUUAAUCUCGUGGGGAAAGCAAUCAUCUCUGCAAGGGGGUUGGGCUGGGCUGUCUUGGGUGUCUGCUUGAGUCAGCUUCCCUGUUUGUACCAUACAGCUUGUGCUUCUGGAUCUAAGCCAUCAUCUCAAAAUGUAAUUAAGUCUUCAGCACUUCAGGAGCAAGAGGAAUCUUCGCAGUGUGAAUCAAACACCAUCUUCUCAGUGAUGCUGGCCUGAGUCUGCCACUCCUCUGGGAGAGCAGCUCAGAGCUUUCUUCUCAUUCCAGAGGUGUAACCACACUGCAACCUCGAGAUCCCUUUUGCUUCCCAGUCACAGUGGUAAGAAUUGCACCUGCAGUCAAAGAACAAACAGAGCUGACUGUUUGUAGGGAUCAGUAGGGUCUGUUGUCAUUCAGUGGCUUCUUUAACCUGGCUACAGUUUGUGGGUAAGAGUGAGGAGAUGGCAUUUCUGCCCCUCAGUCAUUUGCACAGGAAUGUUCAUAUUCAGAUGUUUUCUAACUGUUUCCAAAUGGGGUUUUUUUUGCAACAUCAACACAAGUGCAAGUUUAGCUACCUCACCUUUUUUUUUUUUUUUAAUCCCCAUUGGUUCAUUAAUCCUGAUCUUUGGUCUAGAGGAGGAGUCUUCACAUGAGUCCAGAUCGUCUGAUCUGUUCUCUCUGCUUCUCCUGCCACCAGCUCCAAGAUGGUCCCUUCUUCCCCACAGGCUGAGACAGGAGCCCACAGAGGGGGAAGGACAGAGAUAAAGGGAAGUACUCUGGACCACGGGCCACCUCCUGAGGAUGGUGUCAAGGUGCUGGCUCCACUCCAUACACUGGAGCAGCUCUGCUUUCCCACACUCCCAAGUUUUGGGCUCCUGUGCUUUCCCAGAGAAAUACAGCUGUUAUUUGCCCAGGCAGAUUCUAAGCCUGCCACACUCAAUAAUUCAGUGGUGAACUUUGGAGCUGCGACCAGGUUGAAAAAAAAAUAACUUGCUUUAGUAAGUACGAAAUCCCCAUCCCUGCUGCCUUCGCCUCUCCCUCCCUCCUCCUCUCGGGCAGCCCCUGCGAUCCAACCACUCCCCGCUCUUACAGGGAGCGCAAAGGAAAGGCGGGCGGGGAGGGGGAAAACAUUCAUUUCCUCUCGGUGGGAUGUUUAUUGUUUUUCCUGCCCUCGGCAGCCCGAGGUCUCUGUCGUUUUCCGUGGCGUUUUACAAAGGGAACGGUUCUCGCAGGCACCGACGAGUUCAUCCGCAGAGACACCCGGAGCCUGGAGAUUCGAAUUUCCACCUCGCUGACGCCGCUGUAAUUGGGGCUCCCGGGAGAGGAAACCCUGACAAGUGACACAAAUAAACCCUGCCAGACCCCUCUCAAGACCUGCAGCACGGUAACCCCAGGAGGGCUCCCGUGAUCAAAUUACCCUUAAACAAAUGCUUCUGCAGGAGCCGAGGAUGUAACUGCUGAAGGUCAGCGAGGUGCACAUGGGACGUGUUUGCAGGGUUUUAGUCCCCAUCACCCGCUCCAAAUCAAAGACCAGGAGUUGCAGCACCGGCAAAAUGGAACUGGGGGAAGCUGCAAAGCUAAUUAAACCUCGUUUCUCCAAUUGUCUAGGAAUACAUUUAUUUAGGCCUUCCCUACGCCUCUAGCUAUUCAGGCAUAAUUACAGCAGCACUGUUUCCCUGAAUAUAAAUGAAUAAUAUAAAGCACACACGUUUUCUUUCCUGUGAACUGAAAUUUGGCAAGGUCUAUGACGUUCUUUUGGAGAGCUGAUGAAAACAUUUUGAAGAUGUCAGCAUCUCAGGUUAGGAAAGAUUGAUAGGCAGAUAGAUAUGGAAAUGCAGAUAUAUCCAUAGAUAUAGAUAUAUAAAAAUGAUUUACAGUUUGCUUUCUUUCUCCCACCCUUUUGCAUUAAGCUUUUUAGGGAAAUGACUUAUUGUAUAAAUACAUGUAAUUUCCAUGUAGGAGGAAAAAUAAUUAAUAUUGAUGUGAGUGUCAUUUAAACAGCUGGCAGAGAGUGUAUUUCAGGUGCUGCACUGCUUUAACUGAUGGUUAAAACAAGAAAAGUCCCCAUAACUGACUCAUAAACUGGUGUAAAAAUUCUGUACUGACCUUGUACAGACCACAAAUAGCUCCUUCUGACAAAAAUAGUAAGGCAGAAAUUACAGAUGUAAUACAAAAAUCAUGGGAUGAAAUUCUCAGACUGGAUCAUGUAGGAAGUUCAAAUUUGAAGACCAAAAGAGUUCAUAAUUAUUGAUUAAAUUAUUAUUAUAUGUUAAUUUAUUCUGGAUUUCCUCCAGAAGAGGCUGCUGGGUUUGAAACAUAAUCUUACUUAUUAGUUAGCACAGAGCUUUGCUGUAAGCCCAAGGCCUGGAAGAAUCUGUAAGUUCCACGAAAGCUUGAUGGGACUCAAGAACUUCAGAAAGAUUUUCUUAGAAGGAAUUAGUCAUGGUGUCAAGGGACUCCUUUGUUCCUUGCUGAUUGUUUGUCUCUUAGUCAUUAACUGAAGUUCACAUUCCUGGAAGGAGCCCUGUUGACAGCUCAUCUCUUGGGGUUUUGUUGCAGCAGAAGCAAGUCCUGGCCCUGGAUCUCCUGUCAUUCCAUCCUCUCUGUGAGCUGAACUCUUCCACAAGAGGAGCAGUUUGUGCCAAGAGGUUGGCAUUCCCAGGAACAAAAAUCCCAUUCCAGACUCAUCUCCCUGCAGCUUUUCAUAUCCCUGUAGUAAAGGACAAAGCCCAGGGACCUUUUCUUGGAUGACAUCCCAGGGGACGGGAGGAAAAUCUCCAGCCCUCAUCCCAUCCACGUGUCCCAGUGCAGGGAGUGUCCCAAAGGCAUUUCAAGGUCCUGAGGAGUCCAAAGUGUCCCAGGAGGUGCAGCCACCCUACCAUCAGCUCACACAUUCCCAACAGGCCCAAGUUUUCCUGCUGUCCCAGUCCCUCAGGGCCCCAGGCCAUGCUGUGCUGGUGGUAAAAAUCACGAUCACAGCAUCGGACUUUUGUGUGUUACCCUCAGCUCACAAUCACCAGAAGAUGAUUUAAUUGCAUGAGAAAAUGUUCUCUUUAAUCUUUUAGAAUUAGUCAUCUCUUCCUCAGUCAUCUCUCCAUAUUUUUGGUUAGAGAGACUGAAAAUCUUAAUAUAUCAGUGACAUUUAUAGCACAUGUUAAUAUUAUAAAACGUCAGAGCUCUAUUUGCAGAAAUGAAUACUGAUGUGAUGGGAGUGUUUUAUUAUGUCAGUGACUUUUAUUAUAAAUAUGAUAAAACUGUGUCAUCCUUUUUUUUUUUUUUUCCAAAUAAAAAAUAA
Molecule: long non-coding RNA, 6226 nt
Organism: Pseudopipra pipra
Lineage: Eukaryota; Metazoa; Chordata; Aves; Passeriformes; Pipridae
Exons: 3
Source: RefSeq, a predicted model, not a curated record